ACACAUAUUCGCACUGCAAUUUUGCUCGGCCUGCCUCUAUUUUUCAGUUGACCUCUCUCUCUCUCUCUCUCGCUGUGCAUCUCUUCCCACCGAGACCCUCUCAUCCUCUCAGCAACGUCGUCGCCGUCGUCUCUCCCCAAACCCCCAACCUAGCUUCUGUCCCUAGACGCCUCCGACCCCCUUCACGAUAAAGGUUCUCUCUCUCUCUCUCUCUCUCUUAGGCACGGCUGCACGGGCCCUCUAUUCUCAGUCACCGGUGACAUUGUUGAUUUGCUACCUCGCUGUCGAAGGCUCGAACUCUUCACUCUUGGUUUGCUCUCUUCGACUCUUCCUCAAGUUGUGAUUCUGUGAAGCUCGGUGACUCAAGCUUGGAGAAAUUUGUGUUCGAUUUCUGGGUUCAAGUUCGGUGAUUCUUCAAGCUCAAUUUCUGGGUUCGAAUUUCUGGAAUCUCUUGUUAAGUUGCUAGGUUCGAUUAAGUUUCUCAUUCUUAAGUUUUUGAUUUUGGGCUGUGGUGUUUCUGGGUUUGAUUAAGUUGCUGGGUUUCAGCUGUUUUGGACGACUUUGCUUACUGUAUCUGUUUUGAAAUAUCAAUAUUUGGCCUCUGUAUCUAUUUUGGAUGGGAAUUGAAUCAAUUGAUUAAUUAAUAAUUGAAUUGCAUUUGUUUUGGCCUCUGUGAAUAAGAAUUAAAUCGAUUGAUUGAUUGAAUGUUGAAUACUGUUUUUGUUUAUAUAAUUACAUGAUUUCUUCUGGUCAGCCAGUCAAUGAGUACAUUGACGCAGCUGUGAGACAUGUUCUCCUUAGGCAGGGUGUUCAUUAAGGUCAAGAUCAUGCUUGACUGGGAUCCCAAUGGCAAGCAAGGACCCAUGACUCCUCUACCUGAUCUUGUUACAAUCCACCAACCAAAGGAUGAUGAAUUGAUGAGUUUGUCAGGCGGGCACCAGAAAUUGAAGCAGCACCUAUUUUGGUCCCAACUGAUGUUGUUCUUUUCAUGUUUCCAGGAGGAUGCUGUGAAACAACUACAAAGUCUGCAGAAAGAAAUUCAGGAUUCAAUGAAUGAGCUUGAGGAGAUGAGACCUCUGUAUGAGAAUCAAGUCAUGAGGGAAAAGGAGAUGACAAAGGGUUAUGUGUUAUCUACACAUGCUCUAUCAAGUCCAUUCCAACGUCACUCUAUUUGGUGCAAUACAAUUACAAAAGAGAAGGCAGGCUUGAAUGAAUCGCAGUGGAUAGUAAGUAGAGGGGUGAGUGAGUGAGGCAAUGAGACUCGUUGGUUCUUUUUGGUCUCGUCAGACUCGUUGGUUGAUAGCCAGCCAACCAAACCGUGCAUCCCCAGUUUCCCAGUUCUUGUGGAAUUCUCAGUGAGGUAAUGUUCCUUUGCAGAUUCUUAUUUAUCAUUCUACUGAAUGUGCGAUAAUCAGGGCUGUGGCAUGGGAGGAUUCUCAACUAUCAUACCCAAUGGGGAUAUCACCACUAAUUGCACUGGUUGAACUUCUCGGAAGAGAUUUUUGGAAAUAUACACAUGCUUGUAAUAAUAAUGGAGCACGAGAAGCAGCUUAGCAUACUUUAUCAAAAACAAGGUCGUGCGACCCAGUUUCCAAGCAAAGCUGCUCGUGACAAAUGGCUUCAAAAGGAAAUUGAUGUUCUUGAACGAGUUCUUUCUUCAAAUUUGGCACAGGCAUGGGAGUUGAUGAUUCUGAAACUGACGCUAUAAUAAAUUGUGAGAUCAAACUAGAAUUCUGAUGUUCAUAUACCUGUUGGAUCAUUUCAUGCCUUGUUAAGAGAUUUGUAUUAGUUUUCUGUUAGCUUGUUUUAAAAUGAACUUUUAGUCAACCACGUGGCAUUGGGUGAAACAAAUGCUUAUCUAACUUCCCAUCAUUCAUACAUACAUAAAGGAGAGGCAUCAAGGCAUAGGGGAGUGACAUCGAAAGUAAAGGCUGUUGAUGAUGCAACUUCUGCUGGCAUCUUCAUUGUCAUCACAAAGUGUGUUCUUCAAGACUUGGUUGGUUUCAACAUUUUACUAAAUUUUGUUAGAAAACUAGUUCUGUUGAUGUAAUGACUUUGUUGGAUAUAUGGAUGAAUGUAUUGGAUUUUAACAUAAAUGAAUGUGUUUUGGAUGUGAUGCCAUUUUGAAUGUC
RNA transcript from Rosa rugosa (rugosa rose), 2132 nucleotides. It is a transcript of the gene named structural maintenance of chromosomes protein 3-like, with no coding region annotated. The transcript is spliced from 5 exons. Lineage: Eukaryota; Viridiplantae; Streptophyta; Magnoliopsida; Rosales; Rosaceae. The record is from RefSeq and is a predicted model, not a curated record.